GAUGAAGAACGUAGCGAAAUGCGAUACUUGGUGUGAAUUGCAGAAUCCCGUGAACCAUCGAGUCUUUGAACGCAAGUUGCGCCCGAAGCCGUCAGGCCGAGGGCACGCCUGCCUGGGCGUCACACGCCGUUGCCCCCCCGCGCCCCGCACCCAACUCUUUGGGAGCGACCGCGGGGCGGGCUGAUGAUGGCCUCCCGUGCGCUCCGCCGCGCGGUUGGCCCAAAUACCGAGUCCCCGGCGACGUGCGCCACGACGAUCGGUGGUUGAGAGACCUCUGUCGCAAGUCGUGCGCGCCCGUCGCGUCACGCGGGCUCGCAUAGCGCCUCGCGCCGCUCCCGGUGCGGAGCUUUCAACGCGACCCCAGGUCAGGCGGGGUUACCCGCUGAAUUUAAGCAUAUCAAUAAGCGGAGGA
Molecule: unclassified non-coding RNA, 412 nt
Filed under: soil metagenome
Description: partial contains 5.8S ribosomal RNA, internal transcribed spacer 2, and large subunit ribosomal RNA
Rfam family: 5.8S ribosomal RNA (bases 1-122)
Source: RNAcentral